AAGUCGUAACAAGGUUUCCGUAGGUGAACCUGCGGAAGGAUCAUUAACACAAGUAAAAAAACAUUUUACAACACCCUCUUAUGAAUUUAAAUUUUUUAAUUUUAAUUUUAAUUUUUUUUAUAAAACUACAAAAAAAAUAUUUAAUUUAUUUGACUAACAUUUUUUUAAUUAAUUUAUUUAAAAUUUUAUAAAACAACUCUUAACAACGGAUAUCUUGGCUCUC
RNAcentral lists this unclassified non-coding RNA (223 nucleotides) under fungal sp. RNAcentral's name for it is "partial internal transcribed spacer region". The stretch from base 1 to 46 matches the Rfam family "Eukaryotic small subunit ribosomal RNA", at positions 1786 to 1831 of the family's 1831-position model. Lineage: Eukaryota; Fungi. The record is from RNAcentral.